ACCAAUCACUUUUUAUUAAUUCAUGUCCGUGUUUACAAAGGCUUUUGUACCAAAAACACAAAUAGACUGCUAACUGUUCAUCAGAAACACUCUAGGUUUGUCCCAGAAAUGUCUAGUCUUCUUCAGCUAAAUCACUUCAUUUAUUAGAUUUAGAUGAUUUGUUUGAGAUGCUCUCCCUGUGAUUCUAACUAACUUAUAGUUUAAUUUUAAAAUAAAAUGAGGUUUCCUUGGUAAAUUAUACAAUCUGCCUGAAAAUUUGUUUAAAAAAAAAGACCCCAUCUGUCAUGAUCAGAAUAGAAUAGAAUAGAAUACUGUAUUUGUCAAUUCUUCGAAUGUGCUUGCCAUGCAAGGAAUUGAAAUUACGUUUCACACUGUCCCAUGCGUAGACAUUUACAUAAAGUGCAGAUGCAUAACAAUAACAAAACAAAAAACAUCCCUAACAAUAAGAUAAUAUUAAACAGGUAAAUAUCGCUAAUAAUAUACAAAACAUAUAGCAGCAGGUGUGUGCAAUUUCAAAGCAGAGGUAGUUGUUUACAAUCAAAAAUGUUUGCCCCGUUAUUGGUUCAACCACUAUUUCCAUUUUGUAUAAUGUGUGUGUGUGUGUGUGUGUGUGUGUGUGUGUGUGUGUGUGUGUGUGUGUGUGUGUGUGUGUGUGUGUGUGUGUGUGUGUGUGUGUGUGUGUGUGUGUGUGUGUGUGUGUGUGUGUGUGUGUGUGUGUGUGUGUGUGUGUGGUGGGGUGUAGGGUCCAGUCUGUCAUCCUAUACUCCUGUCACCCUGGUGAUUCUGCUGGCUGGGAUCUGUGAGGGAAGAGAGUUCAGCAGUCUCACAGCUUGGUGGACGAAGCUGUUGGUGAGCCUGGUAGUGCGGGAGCGGAGACUUCUGUAUCUCUUUCCAGAGGGCAGGAGGCUGAACAGACAGUGCGCAGGGUGGGUGGCGUCGUUGACAAUUGUGAUGGCUUUGCGGGUGAGGCGAGUGGUGUAAAUGUCUUGCAGGGAGGGGAGUGGUGCACCAACUAUCCUCUCAGCUGUUCUCACAAUGCGCUGUAUGUAUGUAUGUAUCAUAUGCCCUGAUCUCUGUGUUUUCCUGUCUCCCUGCAGCAGCAGUAAUCUAGCUGAUUAAUUCCACCUGUGCUGCUCCCUAUUUAAGCACCUGGCUCCUGCUGCUCAGUGCAGAUCGUCUGCUGCCCUGUUACAGUUCCUUGAGUGUUUGCGACCGACCGACCGACCGACCGACCGACCGACCGACCGACCGACCGACCGACCGACCGACCGACCGACCGACCGACCGACCGCAGUCUGUCUGACCACGGAACCCGUCUAUUACCUCAGUUCCAGCCUGAAUCUGAGUACUCGCCUUCAUAGGCAUCCCUCACCACUGAACACCGCUGCUGUUUUCAGAAGGCCACGCCACCCGGAACUGACUCCAGAUGGUCCCGAUCGUGUUAACAAGUCCUUAAACUCUUUAAAACUUUCUCUCUGUUUGGCUAUUGAAUCCGGCUGAUCGUCACUAGGGUUGCAAAGGUAAUAGGUACAGGAAGGAAGUCCAAACAUCAUUCUGUGGGAUCCCAAGGUGUUCCCAGGCAAGAGGAUUUGUAAUCUCUCCUGCAGUUUCUGGGUUUUCCCCAGGGUCUCUUCAGUGCUGGAAAAUCUCCAAAGGAAGGUGACCAGGGGGCCUCUUAUCAGCUGCAUGAGCCAAAAGCGCUACACCCUCACCCCUGGUUAUGAAGCUUCUCACCUUAUUUUUAUGACCGAGUCCAACCAACCUAAGAGGAAACUUCUUUUUCUUGAGGUCAUGAUCCAAAUCCAUGUAGAUGAGUAGGAAUGUAGACAGACCAGUAAAUCAGAAGCUUACAUUUCAGUCCCUUGUUCACCACAGAACUCCAGAGCAAAGUCCGUACAGAAACAAUGAUCCUUCUAUCUGUCCAAAAAACAGAUACCAAAGAUGAUGAAACUAAUCUGUUCUCUGUUUGGGAUUAAGGCUCAUUCCACCUUUUUCCAUUCAACAACCAUGGAAAUUCAGUUCCUUAAAAAAAAUCUCUCAGGAUCAUCCAACAGUGACUUGAUUGAAACUUCCUCACAAACCAUCAGAUGGUGUCAGAAGUAACUGAUUCGGUUGGAUGGAAUAUUUGCAUGAUGAAUAAAUUGUUUUAAAACAACUAAGGAAAACAAUUAAGAAAAAGUACAUGUUACUAUUGCACACAGAGCUGUU
Molecule: non-coding RNA, 2208 nt
Organism: Nothobranchius furzeri (turquoise killifish)
Lineage: Eukaryota; Metazoa; Chordata; Actinopteri; Cyprinodontiformes; Nothobranchiidae
Source: RefSeq, a predicted model, not a curated record